Molecule: ribosomal RNA, 253 nt
Filed under: uncultured bacterium
Lineage: Bacteria
Description: partial 16S ribosomal RNA
Rfam family: Bacterial small subunit ribosomal RNA
Source: RNAcentral
UACGUAGGUGGCAAGCGUUGUCCGGAAUUAUUGGGCGUAAAGCGCGCGCAGGCGGUCCUUUAAGUCUGAUGUGAAAGCCCACGGCUCAACCGUGGAGGGUCAUUGGAAACUGGAGGACUUGAGUACAGAAGAGAAGAGUGGAAUUCCACGUGUAGCGGUGAAAUGCGUAGAGAUGUGGAGGAACACCAGUGGCGAAGGCGACUCUUUGGUCUGUAACUGACGCUGAGGCGCGAAAGCGUGGGGAGCAAACAGG